RNA transcript from Vigna radiata var. radiata (mung bean), 2946 nucleotides. RefSeq lists it as uncharacterized. The transcript is spliced from 4 exons. NCBI's taxonomy places the organism in Eukaryota, Viridiplantae, Streptophyta, Magnoliopsida, Fabales, Fabaceae. The record is from RefSeq and is a predicted model, not a curated record.
CUUGAGCACUUCACCAAUCUUUGCAUAUACCUUUAUUUCUUUAAAGCACUUUUCCUUUACCUUUACCUGCUAUGACUCCUCAGAGGGAUUCAUGUUUAGAUUUGAUUCGCAACGAUGCUUCUCUUUUUCUUCUCCAUCUUACUGGGAAACCAUGUUCUUUCAUUCGCUUCAAUUCAAAAGGAUGUGUUUUAAUCCCAACAUUUCUUCCAGUUUUCCUCGAUCUACUGUUUCUUCUUAAAGCAUGGUUUUUUGUUCUUCUUUUUGGACACCAUGUUUUUCACAGGUGUAUUAAUUACUGUUUUUUUUUUUAAUUUGGUUCUUGAGGAACGAGUUCAUCCACUGAAAGGGCCUCGUUUACCGAAAUCAAACAUGAAUUUGCGCAUAAAUCUCUAUUUUUUCUUUUACCCACUUCUCGUGGCAUUAAUCUUUACUCUUAAUUAAUUAGUCUCUAUGUAUUAUGUUACCUUUUCCAGUUUGUGUUUGGAAAAUUUUCCGUUAGAUUUGGGUUUUCUCUGUGAAACUUGUGGCUUUUGUUAAGUAGCUUUGGAUGAGGGUGGCAAAAUGGUAUUAUAGGUUGUAUUGAUAGUUUGUUUAAGGAGGUUUUGUUGGUAGCUAGCUAUAGAUGCAUGGAGAGUUUGCCAGUCGUUAUUUGCGGAUGUAGCAUCAUCAAGAUUCACAUGCAAACGCAGGUGGGUGGGACUGUGAUGCAAUCUGAGAGCUGUAGGCCAACCAUGCCAUAGGUCUUUUGGAAGUGAGAAUCUUGAUGAUGCUGCAUCAGCCAUAAACGACUACUUUCAAAAGUUGGAUAAGGACUAUUCUAAUAAUCUCAACAAGUGGGCCAAAAAUAUAUAUAAAAAAAAAAAGAAGGAAAAAAGAGAAAUGAGAAACAUUUGUUGGGUUAUACACACAUGACACAGCAAAACGAAAACCCCCCUUCAGACAUGAUCUGAUCUGCAAGAGGCAACCUUUUUCCCACUUUGCUUUUUGUUGCUGUCAGACAAUCCUAGGUUUUCAAGUAUAGGCUAUUUGGAGGCCGAGAGGAGCGGCUGUUGGGUCCUUUAUGUGCUGACUUCACAGAUCUAUGAUGAAUAUUCCUUUUCAACAGAAAUGCUGGGAUCUAAAUGGUGUCUUUUCAGUUUCUAAAUAUAGAUGCAGAUACCACUUUAUCCAAAUCCAGAGAGAAUGUUAGAGACGCAAUUAUUAUUUGGAAUUUAGGGUGUACUCAGAAGCUAGUGUUGAUGCUCAUAAAUGACGUUUUGAGCAUAUAGAGUGAAUGAAAACGAGAUAGGAUUUUGCUUUGGGUUUGGUAUGAACAAUGUUGAAGGCUUUGGCUUUAGUAUGAAGCAAUAAUCAGUUGUAGCUGUGGUUGGUGGACCAAGGACUUCACACAAGUUGGACUCUCUAAGGCUGUGGAUCAUACAUGCAUCAGGCCCACUCAUCUUCUUGUUCUCUCUCUUCAUUGGUAAAGCCACACUAUUUCUGUGGCCUUUUUAUUACAUUGAUAAGGGUAGUCUCUCCUAUUACGAUUGUUGUGUGUGUUUGUGUUUUUGCAUUUAGGAUAUGCUGGUAAUUAAUGUAAAGUACAUGUUUCAAGCUAUACUACUUUGGUUCCUUUUUUCUGUGAACGAGGGAGAAGGACAAACUGGUUUAAUAAACCUGACUGAGUACAUAAAAUUACUUUUUCCUCGAAUAAUAUAUGCUAUGAGAGGAUGCAUGUGAUGAAUCUGUUUUUAUUAUUUAAUCUUUGGCUAUAUUUCUAUUGAAAGUGACAGACAGAUAAUGCACUAAGUACAUGCUUAAUUUCAGGGAGCACAUGGAUCAUUUAAAUCCUUGUUUUCAGGUGAUCAUUUAAAUUGAAACAACAGUUUCUUAUAAUUUAGGGAGAAAUGGAUCACGUACAUGGGUUUUUUGCAACUCCCUAUUGCAUGUAUGUUUCAUCCUUAUACUUGUACUAUUUUUCAGCAGCCAUUUCAUUGAACCUACAAACUUCUUUUAGUAUUUUAUGAAUUCAUCUGCAUUUUAUAAUCCGUGGCUGUCUAGUUGCUGAACUUGAUAACUGAUUGAUACAGUGAGAUAUUGCUGUCAUGAAACAAGAACAACAAUAAUAAUAGAAAAAGAGAUUCAAGAAAUACCCAUUAAACAAUGUCUUUUUGAGGCAUGAUGCAUUAAUUCAUUCUGGCCAAUGUAGCAAUAUUUGAAACAAUGUACUCUUGUUGACUCAAGCUUUUCAUAGAAAGAAAAACAUUUAUCACAUUAAAGAUUUACAAUAUAAAAGCCAGUUAAUAUUCCUUAUCUUUAGAAAUGGUGCAAAGGAUAAAAUACUAAUAUAUGAUAAUGCUAUCUAACUGCUACUAAUGUGCAUCUGUAUAUCCAUACUUGCAUGAUCUGAUGGCAUUUUGAUUUUGAUUAGUAACACAUAGUAGUAUAGUAAUAACUUAAACUGUGUAUUUUGUUCACAUCUUUUGCUUUCUGUCUUAUUUCUACUGAGAUGUAUAAUAUGUAGAUUUCAAGAAACUUCUUGUCCGUGCUCAUUAUUCAAAACUCAAGAUCAAAUAAAUUGUAAGAGAGCAUAAACUCGUAUUUCUGGGAAAUUUUGAAGAGAAUAUAUGGGAAACCCUAAGUAUACCGACAAACUCUGUACUUUAUUUUUACAAAAGGAACCAAAACUCUAAUAAUUGUAAAACACAUAUGUUAAUUCAUGGUUGGGCUUAUGCUAAGCAGCAUCACUGAUGAAAGAAAUUCUGUGUGAAUUACUUAACUUGUUAAGAGAUAUUAUAUGGUUGAACUUCUUUCUAUCAAAUUCCCUGAAAUGCAAAGUUUUUGUUAACUUGAAAUUAAUCAGCGAUGUGCUUGUAAUGCUGGCAGCAUCUUUCUCAUUUGAUAUCCAAAACUAAGAAUGUUAACUAUCUGUUGUAGUAAUGUGUAAGGUUUUCACUAUUGCCAAAU